Molecule: long non-coding RNA, 4152 nt
Organism: Cavia porcellus (domestic guinea pig)
Lineage: Eukaryota; Metazoa; Chordata; Mammalia; Rodentia; Caviidae
Exons: 3
Source: RefSeq, a predicted model, not a curated record
AAUCUGGGGCGAAGAGGAGUUUCAGAUCAGGCGAGGCUUCCUCAGAGAGAUGAGCACUGAUCUGACUCUAAAGCACGGUUCUGUAUGGAAGUCACUCUGGCAACUUUAAAACACACACCUCUGUCAUGCUGCCCUGACUUGAAGCCAGCGACUACAAACUGAAAUUCACCCAGGAAACUAGUCAGAAAUUUUCCUCUUUGGCCACCACCCUCAUCGGACCUAGGGGCCAGCAGACGAUGGCCUCGCUCCCUUCCCUACCAUCCAUGGACUAAGGAUUAAUGGAUUUUGGCCUCUCCCCUCCUAUUCCCUGGAUCUUUGGCUGCCCCUCCUCCUACCAGGACCUUUUACUACAGUGAAUUAACCUUGCUGGACUGAUGAGAGACUCAAUAACCCCUCAGCCAAAUAGAGGACCUCAGCAGACUUUGCACUAGAGGACUUCAGUACAUAAACAAGAGCAGUAGUGAAGUCCCCUCUAGCUGUAGGACUUUUGAGCCAGGCAAGAGUGUAGGUGAGUCCUUCCUCCAUAUAGAGACAUCAGAUGGGGUGAGGAGAGUGUCAAUAAGGCCUCCCCAACCUGGAGGAAAUCAAAGGGCUUAUAAGACAUCCAGUAACACAGUAGGGUCCCAGCUGAGGUAAAUACCAUAGCCAGUUAGAUCUGGUGACCUGGAACAACCUGAAGCCAUAGUAACACCAGAAAAUUAGAGUUGACAUGUCAAUACUCCUAGACUAGUCAGCCUAGGAAGAACAUAGGACUCAGGAGAAAUUCAGAUGACUGGCUCUCCUCUUCAUUAUGGUACCCACUAACUGGACAAACAUCAGCCACAGAGUAGGAUGCUAAGAUAUGCACUAUCAACAAUUGAGACUAGUGAGAUUGAGAGACCAAAUAUAGCCUGAAAGAUGAAAAUUACAAAACAAAAAAGCAAAAUGCAAUCUCAAAUAUCUAGUCCAUCAGGAACAAGUACAGGAGACAUUGAAAUAAAAGACAUUAAAAGUCAUCCACCUGAAAUUUUUGAAAAGAUAGCAAGUGAAAGAAACAAAUCCAUGAGGCUAUAGACGAAAUCAGAUUAGAAAUAACCUCUCAUGUAAAGGCAGAAAUGACAACCUUAAUAAAGAAGUUACUCAGCAUAGCAAGAGAAGACAUGAUUUUAAAAAAAAGUACAGGAGCAUGGAAAAAUGAUUGAAACUUUGAAUGAACAAUAUAGAAAACAAGUACAAUGCAUGGAACAAAUUCAAAGAGAUGUUCAAGAAAUAAAAAAUUCUGUUGAACGAUGAAAAAACAAUUUAAAUGAAGCUGAGGAUAGAAUUUCAGACCCUGAGAACAGGAUCACAGCUAGUGAUCAUGAAAGGAUACAACUUUUAUCUUUUUUUUUUUUUUUUUUUUUUUUUUUUUGAAGGUAGUAAAAUACAAUAGCACAAGACAGAACAAAGCCAAACGAGACAAGGCAGUGAUAUCGGUACAGAAUUUCACUACCGGUUACCAGGUAACAGUAAUAGGUGCCAUAGUAUAUAUCUCAUUAUCUUCACAAUAGUUGUCCUUUCAAUCAGGUAUAGCAAAAUCAAACCAAAUACGUAACAUCAUAAAGUCUAUCAAAACAGAGUAUUGAAUAGAGUAAUACAAUUAAUCAGAACAAAACAAGUGAUAAUAAUAUUUGCCUUCAAAGAGAUGGUAGAAGGAAAUCCCCCAUAUUUACUACAUUGCAUACAGUCAUCCUCCCAAGAGAUGCUCAGACCUCUGGCUCCCAUUUGCUAAUGGGGGAGGGGGAAGGAUGGGAUGCCUUGAUUUUCAGCCCAUGCGCUGGUAGGCUCACGGGUGCUUACCAGGGAAGCAAGUGGUUUCUUUUGUUGCCCAGAGCACUAAGUUCUAUCCUGGUGAGGUUCUUGGGAGACACUGGCUGGCUGGUUCUCUCCCUGGGUCACCUGCCACUCACUCAAGCCACAGCUGCUUACCAGGGAAUCGAGCAGGUUCCUUUGUUACCCAGCACCUUCAAGGAUAGAACUUUUUUUUAAAAAGCAGCAUGAAAUGACAAUUCAACAGCUUCAAGAUGAAGCAAAGAGAAACAAUAUAAGACUAAUAGGCAUCAGUGAUGUAGGAGUCAACACAAAUGACAUUGGUAAACUAUUCACAGAAGUAAUAGCAGAAAAUUUUCCAAAUAUGGGGAAAGAAUCAGAUAUACAGAUCAGUGAGGUAUAUAGAUUGCCAGUCAUAACUAAAAUAAACCCAUAUCCAGACAUAUAGUAACUGAGAUCCCAGGGGCUGGGGAUUUAGCUCAGUGGCAUAAGUGCCUGCCUUGCAAGCAGGUAGUCGUGAGUUCGAUCCCUGGUACCGAUAAAAAGGAAAAAGACCAAAAAAAAAAAGUAAUUGAGAUCCCAGACAUACAGAAUAAAAAUAGAACAUUAAAAGCUGUUAGAGAAAAGACCCAAUAUACCUAUCAAGGAAAGCCCAUUAUAAUUACAGCAGACUUUUCGGCACAAAUCUUCAAGUUAAGAGUUUAGAGUGAAGUAUUUUAAGCCCUGAAAGAAAACAGCUUUCAAUACAGAUUGAUGUACCUUGCAAAACUUGCUUUGGAAUCUAAUGGAGAAAUAAGAUACUUCCAUGACAAAGAACAACUGAAGAAAUUCAUGUCUACCACACCAACCCUAGAAAGAAUACUAAGGACAUACUACAUAGAGAUAAAAAUGACUACAGUUUCCAGGACAAUAACAGAAAGAAACCACCAGACAGGGCAAGCAAUUAAACAAGGGGGAAAAGCAGAAAACCAACAACAGGAAAAUAACAUGACAAAGUUGAACCAGAACGUAUCAGUAAUAUCAAUAUAAAUAGAUUUAAUUCACCUAUUAAAAGAAAUACAUUGACAGAAUGGAUCAAGAAACAGGAGCCAACAAUAUGCUAUAUACAAGAAACAUAUCUGCCUCAAAAGGAAAAAUCAUAGAUAAAAGUCAAAGGUUAGAAAACAAUAUUCCAUGUAUCAGGAACACAGAAAAAAGCAGGGGUAGCUAUUCUGUUUGCAGACAAUGUGAACUUCAAACCACAAUGAUCAAAAGAGAUAAAUAAGGUCACCACAUAUGUGUCAAGCGAAUAAUUCAAGAAGAGCUACUAAUCAUAAAAAUAUAUAUGCACUAAAUAUAGGCACACCCAACUAUAUAAGACAAAUACUAAUGGACAUGAAAAGCCAAACAACAACAUAAUUGUAGUAGGGGACCUUAAUACCCCAUUGUCACAAAGAGAUAACUAGACAAAAAGUCAGCAAAGAAAUAACAGAAUUGAAUCUAAACCUGUGAGCAAAUGGACUUAGUGGAUGUUUACAGAGUGUUCCACCCAACCACAUCAUAACACACAUUCUUCUCAGCUAUGCAUGGGACAUUCUCCAAAACAGACUAUAUAUUAGCCCAUAGAACCUACUUAAGUAAAAGUAAAGGUAUUGAAAUUAUCCCAUGCAUAUUAUCUGAUCAUAGUUCACUGAAAUGUUGGUGAGACUGUGGGGAAUAAGGAACACUUCUCCACUGUUGGUGGGAGUGUAGAAUGAUACAGUGACUGCGAAAAUCUGUAUGGAAAUUUCUCAAAAGUUUGGAUUGGAAGUUCCAUUCAAUCCAGCUAUUCCCCUCCUGAAUAUUUUCCCAGAAAAACUGAAAAGGCCAAUUCAUAGUGAUACACGUGCACCCAUGUUUAUAGCAGCACAAUUUGUAAUAGCUAAGUCUUGGAAACAACCAAGAUGCCCAUCAGCUGCAGAGUGGAUGAAAAAGAUGUGUAAUGGAAAAUUACUCAGCUAUAAAAAGAAUGAUUUUGAGGCUUUUACAAGUAAAUGGAGGCAACUUGAGUCUAUCCUCAUAAGUGAAAUAAAUCAGACUCACAUUUAUAAAUAUCAUAUUAUGUCUAGUGUAAAAUAAUAAUAAUAAUAAAGUGAAAGCAGUAAGAUCCAAAAAUGUAAAAUAGAUAUUAUAAUCAAGAGAAAAAAGUGCUCGAAAGGAAAGAACAACUGUAGGUAUAUACAUUUAACUGUAUGUAUAAGUGUGCAAGAUAGAUAACCAUACUUCUAAGAUUUUGAUAGUUCAUCAAACAGUAGUUUGUGCUGUCAUUGACUGACUGUUCAUUUUUAUGCUUUGAUUUUGUAACGUGAACAACUACUUCUAAGAUAACAAUAUGUAAUAUAUCAA